AAUUCGCCCUUACGGCUCAGUAACACGUAGUCAACAUGCCCAGGGGACGUGGAUAACCUCGGGAAACUGAGGAUAAACCGCGAUAGGCCAUAAUGUCUGGAAUGAUUUAUGGCUCAAAUCUACAUGGCCCCUGGAUUGGACUGCGGCCGAUCAGGCUGUUGGUGAGGUAAUGGCCCACCAAACCUAAAACCGGUACGGGCUCUGAGAGGAGAAGCCCGGAGAUGGGCACUGAGACAAGGGCCCAGGCCCUAUGGGGCGCAGCAGGCGCGAAACCUCUGCAAUAAGCGAAAGCUUGACAGGGUUAUUCUGAGUGAUUUCCGCUAAGGAAGUCUUUUGGCACCUCCAAAAAUGGUGCAGAAUAAGGGGUGGGCAAGCCUGGUGUCAGCCGCCGCGGUAAUACCAGCACCCCGAGUGGUCGGGACGAUUAUUGGGCCUAAAGCAUCCGUAGCCGGUUCUGCAAGUCUUCCGUUAAAUCCAACUGCUUAACAGUUGGGCUGCGGAGGAUACUAUAGAGCUAGGAGGCGGGAGAGGCAAGCGGUACUUAGUGGGUAGGGGUAAAAUCCGUUGAUCCACUGAAGACCACCAGUGGCGAAGGCGGCUUGCCAGAACGCGCUCGACGGUGAGGGAUGAAAGCUGGGGGAGCAAACCGGAUUAGAUACCCGGGUAGUCCCAGCUGUAAACGAUGCAGACUCGGUGAUGAAUAGGCUUCGUGCCUAUUCAGUGCCGCAGGGAAGCCGUUAAGUCUGCCGCCUGGGGAGUACGGUCGCAAGACUGAAACUUAAAGGAAUUGGC
This 792-nucleotide ribosomal RNA is filed under the name uncultured crenarchaeote. RNAcentral's name for it is "bacterial SSU rRNA". It matches the Rfam family "Archaeal small subunit ribosomal RNA", at positions 74 to 869 of the family's 1478-position model. The record is from RNAcentral. Lineage: Archaea; Thermoproteati; Thermoproteota.